Non-coding RNA from Phasianus colchicus (ring-necked pheasant), 377 nucleotides. NCBI's taxonomy places the organism in Eukaryota, Metazoa, Chordata, Aves, Galliformes, Phasianidae. The record is from RefSeq and is a predicted model, not a curated record.
GGGCGGUGUGGGGGGGUGGUUGUUCGCCUCAGGCCGCCAUGAUGGAUCUGUGAGGGGAGUGCGCGCCCAGCCUCGCAGAGUCAGCCUGGCCAGCCAGCUUCUUAAGAGAUCUCCUGCAGCUUUCAUUGAGAAGCUCCAAGCUGGCAGCAUCUAAAAUCUUGGAAACAGACUGUGGAAGGAAGAAAAGACCGAAUUAUUGAUUCCUUAGGAGACGCCGUUCAAAGCUCUAGGAGCUACUCCCAUUCAAAAAAAAAUAGAAGUCAGAAAGUACUGAUGCAAAGCCAGAGAAGCUGUCUGAAGCAAUACCUCAUCAUGUCCCAGCAUCCCAAGAAGCACCGUGCUGAUGUUCUUCCUAAUUGUGGCAUCUACUUUUGCAC